GAGCGGGUGGCACAGGGAUUGGAGGGCUCAACGCCUAGGUCCACUGCUGGCUGGGUGUCAAGGUUGGACAGCUGGGCCUGGGCUGAGGGAGGCCAAAGGGCCCAGACCAGCAGCAGGGCUACAUUUUCCAAAGGGAGCCUGCAGGGACAAAAAAACAGGUCUAGUUCCCUGGCCCUGGUGAGAAUCCUGGGAAAAGAAUCAGGAAAAGGGGCCUGUCAGGGACAGGGAUGACAGGAGGGCCAAAGAAAGGCACAGCGUGAAGGGUCACAGGAUGGGUGUUGUUGAGGUGGGGGCCAGGACCCCAGAAAGGAGCCCAGGCUAGGGACCUAUUGCAGGGCUCAGGCCAGGGGAGUACGGGGAAGGGCUGGGCCGGGUAGGAGGGCAGCACUAGGGUUCUGCAGUGCAGGGAAGCCAAGGGGAGCAGGG
RNAcentral lists this long non-coding RNA (426 nucleotides) under Marmota monax (woodchuck). Lineage: Eukaryota; Metazoa; Chordata; Mammalia; Rodentia; Sciuridae. The record is from RNAcentral.